GACGAACGCUGGCGGCAUGCCUUACACAUGCAAGUCGAACGGCAGCACGGGUGCUUGCACCUGGUGGCGAGUGGCGAACGGGUGAGUAAUAUAUCGGAACGUACCUUAUUGUGGGGGAUAACGCAGCGAAAGCCGUGCUAAUACCGCAUAAUCCCUAAGGGGGAAAGCGGGGGACCGUAAGGCCUCGCGCAAUUAGAGCGGCCGAUACCUGAUUAGCUAGUUGGCGAGGUAAAGGCUCACCAAGGCAACGAUCAGUAGCUGGUCUGAGAGGACGAUCAGCCACACUGGGACUGAGACACGGCCCAGACUCCUACGGGAGGCAGCAGUGGGGAAUUUUGGACAAUGGGGGCAACCCUGAUCCAGCAAUGCCGCGUGAGUGAAGAAGGCCUUCGGGUUGUAAAGCUCUUUUGUCAGGGAAGAAACAGCAGCUCUAACACAGUAUGCGAAUGACGGUACCUGAAGAAUAAGCACCGGCUAACUACGUGCCAGCCGCCGCCGUAA
RNAcentral lists this ribosomal RNA (501 nucleotides) under uncultured bacterium. RNAcentral's name for it is "partial 16S ribosomal RNA". It matches the Rfam family "Bacterial small subunit ribosomal RNA", at positions 28 to 523 of the family's 1533-position model. The record is from RNAcentral.